Molecule: ribosomal RNA, 441 nt
Filed under: uncultured bacterium
Lineage: Bacteria
Description: partial 16S ribosomal RNA
Rfam family: Bacterial small subunit ribosomal RNA
Source: RNAcentral
CCUACGGUGUGCAGCAGUGGGGAAUAUUUCACAAUGGGGGAAACCCUGAUGCAGCAACGCCGCGUGGGUGAAGGAGCGUUUCGGCGCGUAAAGCCCUGUCAGCGGGGAAGAAGAAAGACGGUACCCGACCAAGAAGCCCCGGCUAACUACGUGCCAGCAGCCGCGGUAAUACGUAGGGGGCGGGCGUUAUCCGGAAUUACUGGGUGGAAAGGGAGCGUAGACGGGGAGGUACGCCUGAAGUGGAAGCCCGCGGACCAGCCGCGGAACUGCUUUGGGAAAUGGUUUGCUGGAGUAUGGGAGGGGUAAGCGGAAUUGCUGGGGUAGCGGUGAAAUGCGGAGAUAUCAGGAGGAACACCGGUGGCGAAGGCGGCUUACUGGACCAUAACUGACGUUGAGGCUCGAAAGCGUGGGGAGCGAACAGGAUUAGAUACCCCAGUAGUC